CAGCCGCCGCGGUAAUACCAGCAGCCCAAGUGGUGGUCGCGAUUAUUGGGCCUAAAGCGCUCGUAGCCGGGCCGGUAAGUCCCUUGUGAAAUUGGACGGCCUAACCGUUCGGCGUGCAAGGGAUACUGUCGGUCUUGAGGCCGGGAGACGUCCGAGGUACUCCGGGGGUAGCGGUGAAAUGUUCUGAUCCUCGGGGGACCACCGGUGGCGAAGGCGUUCGACGAGAACGGGCCUGACGGUGAGGGGCGAAGGCUAGGGGAGCAGACGGGAUUAGAUACCCGCGUAGUCCCUGUCUCUUAUA
Molecule: ribosomal RNA, 301 nt
Filed under: uncultured bacterium
Lineage: Bacteria
Description: partial 16S ribosomal RNA
Rfam family: Archaeal small subunit ribosomal RNA
Source: RNAcentral